AACUAGAUGGUAUUAAUGGGUAAAAUACACUAAAUGGGUAGCAUUUAGAGAUAUUGGUUCAAAUCCAAUUUUAGUUA
RNAcentral lists this transfer RNA (77 nucleotides) under Navicula tsukamotoi. RNAcentral's name for it is "Haslea tsukamotoi tRNA-Tyr". It matches the Rfam family "tRNA". From Rfam's summary of the family: Transfer RNA (tRNA) molecules are approximately 80 nucleotides in length. Their secondary structure includes four short double-helical elements and three loops (D, anti-codon, and T loops). Further hydrogen bonds mediate the characteristic L-shaped molecular structure. tRNAs have two regions of fundamental functional importance: the anti-codon, which is responsible for specific mRNA codon recognition, and the 3' end, to which the tRNAs corresponding amino acid is attached (by aminoacyl-tRNA synthetases). tRNAs cope with the degeneracy of the genetic code in two manners: having more than one tRNA (with a specific anti-codon) for a particular amino acid; and 'wobble' base-pairing, i.e. permitting non-standard base-pairing at the 3rd anti-codon position. Lineage: Eukaryota; Bacillariophyta; Bacillariophyceae; Naviculales; Naviculaceae. The record is from RNAcentral.